Molecule: long non-coding RNA, 642 nt
Filed under: Anser brachyrhynchus (Pink-footed goose)
Lineage: Eukaryota; Metazoa; Chordata; Aves; Anseriformes; Anatidae
Description: lncRNA (ENSABRG00000016974.1)
Source: RNAcentral
CCUUGGUCCUUUUAGUCCUUAGGUAGAGAAUCUUUCCAUUUCUGAAAAUCAGUGGAAUGAUUCUGAAUCUGCUGUGCUUCUGUCAUCUCUUCUGAAGAAUGCAUACGUGUGUUGCAGUGUUCAGUGAAUAUCCGUCUCCUGGGAAUCGUUCAUGGAAGCUUGGUCCUGAUUUCUUCAGAAGAGAGACCUGUAGUCUAAGUGCAUCCUAGCACCAAGCAGUAUCAGACCAACAGGUAGUCACAAUAAUGUUUGAUGCAUGAUGGAGAGUACCACAGGAUUUACAACUGUUACCAGAGCUGAACUCAGUACUCCAGGUGGGGUCUCUCAAGAGCAGAGUAGAGGGGAGAAUGAAGGUGAAGUCUGGAACAAAGAGCUUUCAAUAGAGAAAAAGAGAAGCCUGUUAACUGCAGACUUGUGAGCACUGAGUGCUGGAGCCUGGCUGAAGACUCUUCAGGCACCUGAGACUCCUGGGUCAAGGCUGGAAGCCCCUCUAGAAGAGGAGAAUAUGGAGGUGGAUCAGUUUGAUAUUUUGGUUUAAACAGGUCUAUCAUUCCUAGAGGAAUAAUGUACUGUGUAUGUCAGCUUUACUCCAGGCUUAACAGAGAAAAUACAAAUGUGAUUUGAAUGAAAGAGAAGAAUAAG